Molecule: ribosomal RNA, 368 nt
Filed under: uncultured organism
Description: bacterial SSU rRNA
Rfam family: Bacterial small subunit ribosomal RNA
Source: RNAcentral
CGUAGGUGGCAAGCGUUGUCCGGAUUUAUUGGGUUUAAAGGGUGCGUAGGCGGUCUAUUAAGUCAGUGCUGAAAUAUCCCGGCUUAACCGGGAGGGUGGCAUUGAUACUGAUGGACUUGAGUGCAGUCGAGGUAGGCGGAAUUGACGGUGUAGCGGUGAAAUGCUCAGAUAUCGUCAAGAACACCGAUAGUGUAGACAGCUUACUAGGCUGUAACUGACGCUGAGGCACGAAAGUGUGGGGAUCAAACAGGAUUAGAUACCCUGGUAGUCCACACUGUAAACGUUGAUGACUCGCUGUUUGCGAUAUACAGUAAGCGGCUUAGAGAAAUCGUUAAGUCAUCCACCUGGGGAGUACGCCGGCAACGGUG